AGCGAACGCUGGCGGCAGGCCUAACACAUGCAAGUCGAACGAACUCUUCGGAGUUUGUGGCGGACGGGUGAGUAACACGUGGGAACGUGCCUUUAGGUUCGGAAUAACUCAGGGAAACUUGUGCUAAUACCGAAUGUGCCCUUCGGGGGAAAGAUUUAUCGCCUUUAGAGCGGCCCGCGUCUGAUUAGCUAGUUGGUGAGGUAAAGGCUCACCAAGGCGACGAUCAGUAGCUGGUCUGAGAGGAUGAUCAGCCACAUUGGGACUGAGACACGGCCCAAACUCCUACGGGAGGCAGCAGUGGGGAAUCUUGCGCAAUGGGCGAAAGCCUGACGCAUCCAUGCCGCGUAAAUGAUGAAGAUCUUAGGAUAGUAAAAUUCUUUCACCGGAUACGAUAAUGACGGUACCCGGAGAAGAAGCCCCGGCUAACUUCGUG
Molecule: ribosomal RNA, 433 nt
Filed under: uncultured bacterium
Lineage: Bacteria
Description: partial 16S ribosomal RNA
Rfam family: Bacterial small subunit ribosomal RNA
Source: RNAcentral